UGCAGUCAACGGUAACAGGUCUUCGGAUGCUGACGAGUGGCGGACGGGUGAGUAACGCGUAGGAAUCUGUCUUUGAGUGGGGGACAACCCAGGGAAACUUGGGCUAAUACCGCAUAAGCCCUGAGGGGGAAAGCGGGGGAUCUUCGGACCUCGCGCUGGAAGAGGAGCCUACGUCUGAUUAGCUAGUUGGUAGGGUAAAGGCCUACCAAGGCGACGAUCGGUAGCUGGUCUGAGAGGACGACCAGCCACACUGGGACUGAGACACGGCCCAGACUCCUACGGGAGGCAGCAGUGGGGAAUUUUUCGCAAUGGGGGCAACCCUGACGAAGCAAUGCCGCGUGAAUGAAGAAGGCCUUCGGGUUGUAAAGUUCUUUCGUGGAGGACGAAAAGGUGGGUGCUAAUAUCGCCUGCUGUUGACGUGAAUCCAAGAAGAAGCACCGGCUAACUCCGUGCCAGCAGCCCGGGGUAAUACA
This 473-nucleotide ribosomal RNA is filed under the name uncultured Acidithiobacillus sp. RNAcentral describes it as "bacterial SSU rRNA". It matches the Rfam family "Bacterial small subunit ribosomal RNA", at positions 56 to 527 of the family's 1533-position model. The record is from RNAcentral. Lineage: Bacteria; Pseudomonadati; Pseudomonadota; Acidithiobacillia; Acidithiobacillales; Acidithiobacillaceae.